UCAAUGUUCUGCUAAUAAUGUGUCUGUUGACAAGCGUUCUGUCAUAGGCCUACAAGAAUGGUCAAACUUGUUUGAUAAGCAAUCAUCUCCUUGUCAAAACAAUCAACGAUAUUUAGAUUGUAAAAUUUGUUGUUCAAAUGCAAUAAAAGGAUUAGACUAUACAAAAUUAAGUACAAUCAUCUCACGUAAACUUUUGGAUGAAUUCUGUCCGAUUAGAAAAGCAAUUACAGUUUUAAUCGGUUUAAGAAAUACAUGCGCUCAUAUCUCAGAAGCAAGGAUUACAGACGCUGAUUAUGUUACUAACAGCACCAAGGCAAAACAAGCUAUAUUACAAAUAGCAAAAGUAUGUCAAAAAGAAGUCGCAAUGCUACAAAAGCUAGAUGAUCUCUCGUCACGGCCUCUAGAUGAAAUGAUGUUAUUAAAAUACCACGCAGAACUUAUUAAACAGCUAAAUGAGUCAGAGGUAAUAAUAUUUACAGACAAAUCUCAUUGUUUUCUUAAGUUUAAUUCAUAGCGUGUAACACGGUUUUCCCCAUUUUGUUCUGUAAGGAUCAACGUAGAAGUUUAGUUUACUUCGAACGAUGUUCAUUUGAACAGUGUCAUUGGAGAUUGCUUUUUACAAACAUGUAAAUUUGAUCAAUGACACAAUAUAAAAAAAUAUGAAAAAACAAGGUAGAUGUAAAAAAAAAUGGUAAAAAAGACAUAUAUUCCCUUGGUCAAAAUGGAAUUAUACAUGUUAAACAGAAUAACGUACACGGGUAAAUACAAAUAUACUAAUGUUGUUGUACAAGUACGGAAAUAUGUUUUACAAAAUAAAUAAUUUGAUUGUGCAUAGUAUGAGCUCACGAGUGAAACUUUAUCGUUAUACUUAAUAAGUAUCAAAGUAUGUUUUGUUUGUUUUACAGUUGACGUCAAAUGUUCUAAAAAGAUACGAAGACGUGAUAUAAAAAAUGGA
This 955-nucleotide long non-coding RNA is filed under the name Mytilus galloprovincialis (Mediterranean mussel). The record is from RNAcentral. Lineage: Eukaryota; Metazoa; Mollusca; Bivalvia; Mytilida; Mytilidae.